Molecule: ribosomal RNA, 468 nt
Filed under: uncultured bacterium
Lineage: Bacteria
Description: partial 16S ribosomal RNA
Rfam family: Bacterial small subunit ribosomal RNA
Source: RNAcentral
GACGAACGCUGGCGGCGUGCUUAACACAUGCAAGUCGAACGGAAAGGCCCUGCUUUUGUGGGGUGCUCGAGUGGCGAACGGGUGAGUAACACGUGAGUAACCUGCCCUUGACUUUGGGAUAACUUCAGGAAACUGGGGCUAAUACCGGAUAGGAGCUCCUGCUGCAUGGUGGGGGUUGGAAAGUUUCGGCGGUUGGGGAUGGACUCGCGGCUUAUCAGCUUGUUGGUGGGGUAGUGGCUUACCAAGGCUUUGACGGGUAGCCGGCCUGAGAGGGUGGCCGGGCACAUUGGGACUGAGAUACGGCCCAGACUCCUACGGGAGGCAGCAGUGGGGAAUAUUGCACAGUGGGCGGAAGCCUGAUGCAGCAACGCCGCGUGCGGGAUGACGGCCUUCGGGUUAUAAACCGCUUUCGCCUGUGACGAAGCGUGAGUGACGGUAAUGGGUAAAGAAGCACCGGCUAACUACGUG